UACGUAGGGUGCAGGCGUUAAUCGGAAUUACUGGGCGUAAAGCGUGCGCAGGCGGUUUGCUAAGACAGGUGUGAAAUCCCCGGGCUUAACCUGGGAACUGCGCUUGUUACUGGCAGGCUUGAGUGUGGCAGAGGGGGGUGGAAUUCCACGUGUAGCAGUGAAAUGCGUAGAUAUGUGGAGGAACACCGAUGGCGAAGGCAGCCCCCUGGGCCAGCACUGACGCUCAUGCACGAAAGCGUGGGGAGCAAACAGG
This 253-nucleotide ribosomal RNA is filed under the name uncultured bacterium. RNAcentral describes it as "partial 16S ribosomal RNA". It matches the Rfam family "Bacterial small subunit ribosomal RNA", at positions 524 to 776 of the family's 1533-position model. The record is from RNAcentral.